This 78-nucleotide non-coding RNA is filed under the name Hyella patelloides LEGE 07179. Lineage: Bacteria; Bacillati; Cyanobacteriota; Cyanophyceae; Pleurocapsales; Pleurocapsaceae. The record is from RNAcentral.
GGGAGCGCAGUGCGAUGAAAGUCGCACGCUGCGAUCUAAUUGAGAGGUGCGAGGGAUUAUACCCUCCAUCGACUCAAC